AUAUAUGCUUUCUGCAUCAAUAUUUCACAAUAUAAUAAUAUACUAUAAUAUAUAACAACUAUAAUAACUAUAGUAUAGAAAUAAAAAAAUGAGAAUGCAAACCUCUGUGCGGUAUUACAGGUGUUAAUUAGAACCACAUAUAUUGUUUUAAUCUACCUUGUUUUCCCAGAUAAAGAUGAUGUGAGUUCUUCCAUGAUAUAUAUUAUUUACACUAGAUAUCCAUUCCUCCAAGGAUCUCCCUGCACGCACAUUGAACAUCUCUCCAAAAUUCUUGUAUUUUUACACUAAAGUACCAAAUAUGGGAAAUGUUUCCCGGUUCUUGAAGGAAUCUCCAGCAUUUGUUGAGUGUGUCUUCCCAAGUUCGAGUAAAAUAAGGGAUGUUUAAACCAUUUGCAUUAAUGGAUAUUACCUUCAGAUUACUCUACAUCUCUUAUACCGCAGGGCAGAUUUUGUCACAAAUGCAAAAUGUUGUGUUUCGGCUCCAAAAUCCACCGUGUAGCAGGAGCGGAAGAGCAGCAGGGGAGUGGAUUUUCGAUCUCCGUAGGCCAAGAUCCGCAAUCAUCUGGUACUACCCUAAGUGCAAAUGUAUCGCCUCAAUCAGUAAACCAGGACCACAGACAACAACGUAUGAUGACCUAGGGGACCCUACAUAAUUGCAUUUUAACAGUAGACAGUGUUUUGUGACAGCAGAGCCACCUACAGACACAGCUCUGCUGAGCACCAGUCAUAAAUGGGCUCCAGGACAUCAUGUCGAGAGACUGGCAAGGGAGUGUGGUCACCAGGACAUUCGUGCUGACAGCCCUUGUUUCUAUGGGAACCAAAGAAAUACAAUAUUCCAUACAAGUGCUGCUGUGCUAUCAGCUCCUUCUUCACUGUGCCUGAGUCCAGAUCUUGCACGUCUCCCACGUCUGGAUUGUGCUACAGCUUUCUACGCAUAACACGUGCAGCCAAAGGACAAGCUUGUUAAGCUGCCAGACCUCUACUGUAACAUGACUCUCACUGCAGAAAAAAACAUAAUAAUUCUAUGUGUCCUCCAGUUGGUGUAUUAUUUCGGGAAGCUUAUUUUUCUGUAGCCUAAAGACCCUGAAGCUGUCCAAAGAAUACAACAGAAUUUGUGUCAUUAUUCCUUACCUUUUCUCUCCUGAUUAAAAAGCACUUUUUAUUAAUAAAAUACCAGUUCAAACAA
This is a long non-coding RNA of Xenopus laevis (African clawed frog), 1186 nucleotides long. RefSeq lists it as uncharacterized. The record is from RefSeq and is a predicted model, not a curated record. Lineage: Eukaryota; Metazoa; Chordata; Amphibia; Anura; Pipidae. The transcript is spliced from 5 exons.